GAUGAACGCUGGCGGCGUGCCUAAUACAUGCAAGUCGAGCGAACGGACGAGAAGCUUGCUUCUCUGAUGUUAGCGGCGGACGGGUGAGUAACACGUGGAUAACCUACCUAUAAGACUGGGAUAACUUCGGGAAACCGGAGCUAAUACCGGAUAAUAUUUUGAACCGCAUGGUUCAAUAGUGAAAGACGGUCUUGCUGUCACUUAUAGAUGGAUCCGCGCUGCAUUAGCUAGUUGGUAAGGUAACGGCUUACCAAGGCAACGAUGCAUAGCCGACCUGAGAGGGUGAUCCGCCACACUGGAACUGAGACACGGUCCAGACUCCUACGGGAGGCAGCAGUAGGGAAUCUUCCGCAAUGGGCGAAAGCCUGACGGAGCAACGCCGCGUGAGUGAUGAAGGUCUUCGGAUCGUAAAACUCUGUUAUUGGGGAAGAACAAAUGUGUAAGUAACUGUGCACAUCUUGACGGUACCUAAUCAGAAAGCCACGGCUAACUACGUG
This 497-nucleotide ribosomal RNA is filed under the name uncultured bacterium. RNAcentral's name for it is "partial 16S ribosomal RNA". It matches the Rfam family "Bacterial small subunit ribosomal RNA", at positions 28 to 507 of the family's 1533-position model. The record is from RNAcentral.